This 115-nucleotide ribosomal RNA is filed under the name Paenilisteria newyorkensis. The record is from RNAcentral. Lineage: Bacteria; Bacillati; Bacillota; Bacilli; Caryophanales; Listeriaceae.
UGGUGGUUAUUGCGAGAAGGUCACACCCGUUCCCAUCCCGAACACGGAAGUUAAGUUUCUCAGCGAAGAUGGUAGUAGGGGGCUUCCCCCUGUGAGAGUAGAUCAUUGCCAGGCA